This 128-nucleotide small nucleolar RNA is filed under the name Sorex araneus (European shrew). RNAcentral describes it as "Small nucleolar RNA SNORA17 (ENSSARG00000014894.1)". It matches the Rfam family "Small nucleolar RNA SNORA17". Rfam says of the family: snoRNA ACA 17 belongs to the H/ACA family of snoRNAs and is predicted to guide pseudouridylation of the 28S rRNA at positions U4659 and U4598. It shares the same host gene together with ACA43. NB This family has a high threshold value to exclude a large number of closely related sequences that do not appear to have conserved H and ACA boxes, and may be pseudogenes. Lineage: Eukaryota; Metazoa; Chordata; Mammalia; Eulipotyphla; Soricidae. The record is from RNAcentral.
GCUGCUAAACUUAUCCCUACAGAUGUGGCCACCGAGCCACACUGGUGACAGCAGGGCAGAAAAAGUGGCUAUUUCUACACUCAGUGCUCAAAACUGUGGGUGCUAAGAAUGGUUAGUAGCCUCACAUU